RNAcentral lists this ribosomal RNA (515 nucleotides) under uncultured Bacillota bacterium. RNAcentral's name for it is "bacterial SSU rRNA". It matches the Rfam family "Bacterial small subunit ribosomal RNA", at positions 355 to 861 of the family's 1533-position model. Lineage: Bacteria; Bacillati; Bacillota. The record is from RNAcentral.
UAGGGAAUCUUCCGCAAUGGACGAAAGUCUGACGGAGCAACGCCGCGUGAACGAUGAAGGCCUUCGGGUCGUAAAGUUCUGUUGUUAGGGAAGAACAAGUACCAGAGUAACUGCUGGUACCUUGACGGUACCUAACCAGAAAGCCACGGCUAACUACGUGCCAGCAGCCGCGGUAAUACGUAGGUGGCAAGCGUUGUCCGGAAUUAUUGGGCGUAAAGCGCGCGCAGGUGGUUUCUUAAGUCUGAUGUGAAAGCCCACGGCUCAACCGUGGAGGGUCAUUGGAAACUGGGGAACUUGAGUGCAGAAGAGGAAAGUGGAAUUCCAAGUGUAGCGGUGAAAUGCGUAGAGAUUUGGAGGAACACCAGUGGCGAAGGCGACUUUCUGGUCUGUAACUGACACUGAGGUGCGAAAGCGUGGGGAGCGAACAGGAUUAGAUACCCUGGUAGUCCACGCCGUAAACGAUGAGUGCUAAGUGUUAGAGGGUUUCCGCCCUUUAGUGCUGCAGCUAACGCUAA